This 445-nucleotide ribosomal RNA is filed under the name uncultured bacterium. RNAcentral's name for it is "partial 16S ribosomal RNA". It matches the Rfam family "Bacterial small subunit ribosomal RNA", at positions 338 to 795 of the family's 1533-position model. The record is from RNAcentral.
CCUACGGGCGGCAGCAGUAGGGAAUCUUCGGCAAUGGGGGGAACCCUGACCGAGCAACGCCGCGUGAACGAAGAAGUUAUUCGUAAUGUAAAGUUCUUUUAACAGGGAAGAAAGAGAAAUUUGACGGUACCUGAAGAAUAAGCUCCGGCUAACUACGUGCCAGCAGCCGCGGUAAUACGUAGGGAGCGAGCGUUAUCCGGAAUUAUUGGGCGAAAAGGGUGCGUAGAUGGCAUAGUAAGUCUUUUGUAAAAAUGCUGGGCUCAACCCAGUAGGGCAAAAGAUACUGCAAAGCUAGAGUAUGACAGAGGAAAGUGGAACUACAUGUGUAGCGGUAAAAUGCGUAAUAUAUGUAAGAACACCAGUGGCGAAGGCGGCUUGCUGGGUCGAUACUGACAUUGAGGCACGAAAGCGUGGGGAGCAAACAGGAUUAGAUACCCGAGUAGUC